Molecule: ribosomal RNA, 582 nt
Filed under: uncultured bacterium
Lineage: Bacteria
Description: bacterial SSU rRNA
Rfam family: Bacterial small subunit ribosomal RNA
Source: RNAcentral
AAGGGAGAGGAAUAAGUAGAAAUCUACCCUCGGAUCGGGGAUAGCGGCGGGAAACUGCCGGUAAUACCCGAUAACGUCUUUGGACCAAAGGUGUGAUUCCGUCUGAGGAUGAGUCUACUUCCUAUUAGCUAGUUGGCGGGGUAAUGGCCCACCAAGGCAACGAUGGGUAGCAGGUGUGAGAGCAUGACCUGCCUCAUUGGGACUGAGACACUGCCCAGACACCUACGGGCGGCUGCAGUCGAGAAUCUUCGGCAAUGGACGAAAGUCUGACCGAGCGACGCCGCGUGCGGGAUGAAGGCCUUCGGGUUGUAAACCGCUGUCGGAGGGGAACAAAUGUACGGGGGUACUCCCCUGUAUUUGAGUGAACCUAGGAGGAAGGAGAGGCUAAGCUCGUGCCAGCAGCCGCGGUAAGACGAGCUCUCCGAACGUUAUUCGGUAUCACUGGGCUUAAAGAGUUCGUAGGCGGUCUGGUAGGUGAGGUGUGAAAUCCCCCGGCUCAACCGGGGAACUGCGCUUCAAACCGCCGGACUUGAGGGAGACAGAGGUGGGCGGAACAGAUGGUGGAGCGGUGAAAUGCGUUGA